GGCGCCUUCGUCUAUCGGUUAGGACGCAAGAUUCUCAUUCUUGAAAGACGGGUUCGAUUCCCGUAGGCGCUGCCA
RNAcentral lists this transfer RNA (75 nucleotides) under Acidobacteriota bacterium. RNAcentral's name for it is "Acidobacteria bacterium tRNA-Glu". It matches the Rfam family "tRNA". From Rfam's summary of the family: Transfer RNA (tRNA) molecules are approximately 80 nucleotides in length. Their secondary structure includes four short double-helical elements and three loops (D, anti-codon, and T loops). Further hydrogen bonds mediate the characteristic L-shaped molecular structure. tRNAs have two regions of fundamental functional importance: the anti-codon, which is responsible for specific mRNA codon recognition, and the 3' end, to which the tRNAs corresponding amino acid is attached (by aminoacyl-tRNA synthetases). tRNAs cope with the degeneracy of the genetic code in two manners: having more than one tRNA (with a specific anti-codon) for a particular amino acid; and 'wobble' base-pairing, i.e. permitting non-standard base-pairing at the 3rd anti-codon position. Lineage: Bacteria; Pseudomonadati; Acidobacteriota. RNAcentral also lists the same sequence under 2 other names. The record is from RNAcentral.